GUGGGGAAUUUUGGACAAUGGGCGCAAGCCUGAUCCAGCAAUGCCGCGUGCAGGAAGAAGGCCUUCGGGUUGUAAACUGCUUUUGUACGGAACGAAACGGUCCGGGUUAAUACCCUGGGCUAAUGACGGUACCGUAAGAAUAAGCACCGGCUAACUACGUGCCAGCAGCCGCGGUAAUACGUAGGGUGCAAGCGUUAAUCGGAAUUACUGGGCGUAAAGCGUGCGCAGGCGGCUUUGUAAGACGGAUGUGAAAGCCCCGGGCUCAACCUGGGAAGUGCAUUCGUGACUGCAAGGCUAGAGUGUGUCAGAAGGGGGUGGAAUUCCGCGUGUAGCAGUGAAAUGCGUAGAUAUGCGGAGGAACACCGAUGGCGAAGGCGAUCCCCUGGACCUGUACUGACGCUCAUGCACGAAAGCGUGGGGAGCAAACAGGAUUAGAUACCCCUGUAGUCC
This 450-nucleotide ribosomal RNA is filed under the name uncultured bacterium. Its description in RNAcentral is "bacterial SSU rRNA". It matches the Rfam family "Bacterial small subunit ribosomal RNA", at positions 354 to 796 of the family's 1533-position model. The record is from RNAcentral.